AUGCCGUCGUGGCCGAACAACAAUGAGACGUCGAGCGACGAUGACGAGUACAUGAGCGAGUUCAGCAGCAUGCAGAUGGAGUACUUUCAAACUCCUGACACUGUGAUAGACCCUAGUUUCUGUGGGCUUGUGACUGAAUCUGACAGAAGGUGCAUCCUGCACAGGCAGAGGGCGGGCAAGUUUGUGGCAUUUGAAGGCACUGACACUGGCAGGAGAUUCAUAGGAUGUGCUACUGAGGAUGGUGUGAACUGUGGUGUUCUGGAGUGGGUAGAUGCCCCCUGGCCUGUAAUUCUGCAAAGGUGCUUAAGCAAACUCUGGGAUAUGUAUCAUGAGCAGAACCUUGGUAGAGCCCAGGAUAAUGAGGCUCAUGGGAUAGAGGUUGCAAAACUGCAGAAGGAGCUUGAUUCUCUGGCCAAUCAGUAUAGCCAGCUGGUGGAUGAUGUGUCUAAGUUGUUUGAUUAUCAGGAUGGAAUCAAAUCUUAUAACAUGGAUUGCACAAGCCAGGCAAUCAAUGAACUGAAGGAGAAGAAGAAGCAACUUGAGGAGCAGACAAAGAUUGAGCUUCAAAUGGAGAAGCUUAAGCUCAAGAAAGAACAAAGGUGCAUCUGA
This 609-nucleotide ribosomal RNA is filed under the name Triticum aestivum (bread wheat). RNAcentral's name for it is "partial small subunit ribosomal RNA". The record is from RNAcentral. Lineage: Eukaryota; Viridiplantae; Streptophyta; Magnoliopsida; Poales; Poaceae.